RNAcentral lists this ribosomal RNA (3003 nucleotides) under Triticum aestivum (bread wheat). Its description in RNAcentral is "partial small subunit ribosomal RNA". Lineage: Eukaryota; Viridiplantae; Streptophyta; Magnoliopsida; Poales; Poaceae. The record is from RNAcentral.
AUGGAGGACGCCUACGCCAAGUCCGCCGCGGAGGUGCUCCAAGCGUUCGGCGUGGACCGGACCAAGGGCCUCUCCGACUCGCAGGUGGAGCAGCAUGCCUUGCUUCACGGCAAAAACGUGCUGCCCCAAGAAGAAAGUACCCCCUUCUGGAAGUUAGUUUUGAAACAGUUUGAUGAUUUACUCGUCAAAAUAUUGAUAGCAGCUGCUGUGGUAUCCUUCCUUUUGGCUCGAUUGAAUGGUGAAACUGGAUUAACAGCAUUUUUGGAACCAUCUGUCAUAUUUAUGAUAUUAGCAGCAAAUGCAGCAGUUGGUGUGAUCACAGAAACAAAUGCUGAAAAAGCUCUCGAGGAGUUGCGAGCAUAUCAAGCAGAUGUUGCAACGGUGCUUCGCAAUGGUUGCUUUUCUAUACUUCCAGCAACAGAACUUGUCCCUGGAGAUAUUGUAGAAGUGGGAGUUGGUUGCAAAGUUCCAGCUGACAUGAGAAUGGUUGAAAUGCUAAGCCAUCAAUUGCGUGUUGACCAGGCAAUUCUGACAGGGGAAAGCUGUUCAGUGGCUAAAGAGCUUGAUUCAACUUCAGCAAUGAAUGCUGUCUACCAGGACAAAACAAACAUUCUUUUCUCGGGUACUGUUGUUGUAGCUGGUAGAGCAAGAGCUGUCGUUAUUGGUGUUGGUUCUAAUACUGCAAUGGGAAGUAUACGUGAUGCAAUGCUGAGAACAGAGGAUGAAGCGACUCCACUGAAGAAAAAACUGGACGAAUUUGGCACAUUUCUGGCAAAGGUUAUAGCAGGGAUCUGUAUUCUUGUUUGGGUUGUAAAUAUUGGCCAUUUCCGAGAUCCUUCUCAUGGUGGCUUUCUUAGGGGUGCCAUUCAUUAUUUUAAGGUAGCAGUUGCCCUUGCUGUUGCAGCCAUUCCAGAAGGUCUCCCAGCUGUAGUAACAACGUGCUUAGCUCUUGGUACCAAGAGAAUGGCUCGCUUGAAUGCCAUCGUAAGGUCUUUGCCCUCUGUGGAGACAUUAGGAUGCACAACAGUCAUUUGCUGUGACAAAACUGGCACUCUUACGACAAACAUGAUGUCAGUGUCUAAGGUAUGUGUUGUGCGGUCUGUGCACCAGAGACCAAUAACUGAUGAGUACUCUAUUAGUGGAACCACAUUUGCUCCUGAUGGGUUUAUAUAUGACGCCAGUGAAAAUCAGCUGGAGUUUCCUCCUCAGUCCCCAUGUCUCCUUCAUAUAGCCAUGUGUUCAGCUCUUUGCAAUGAGUCCACUUUACAGUACAAUCCUGAUAAAAAAAGUUAUGAGAAGAUUGGAGAGUCCACUGAAGUUGCUCUGCGCGUUCUGGUGGAGAAGGUCGGUCUUCCUGGCUUUGAUUCGAUGCCUUCAGCUCUGAACAUGCUAACUAAGCAUGAGCGUGCAUCGUACUGCAAUCACUAUUGGGAAAAUCAGUUCAGAAAGAUAUCAGUUCUAGACUUUUCCCGAGAUCGCAAAAUGAUGAGCGUCCUUUGCAGUCGAAAACAACAGGAGAUUAUGUUUUCAAAAGGUGCCCCUGAAAGUGUAAUGGCAAGAUGCACACAUAUAUUGUGCAAUGAUGAUGGGUCUUCUGUACCAUUGACUAUGGACAUACGUAAUGAGCUGGAAGCUAGAUUUCAAAGUUUUGCAGGAAAAGAUACCCUAAGGUGCCUAGCAUUAGCAUUAAAACGAAUGCCAGAAGGCCAACAAAGUCUUUCCUAUGAUGAUGAGGCAAAUUUAACAUUUAUUGGAUUGGUUGGGAUGCUUGACCCUCCAAGAGAUGAAGUUCACAGUGCUAUCCAUUCUUGUAUGUCAGCAGGGAUUCGUGUUAUUGUUGUUACUGGGGAUAACAAGUCCACUGCAGAAUCUCUAUGUCGGCAAAUUGGUGCGUUUGAGCAUUUAGAUGACUUUACAGGGUAUUCAUAUACAGCAUCAGAAUUUGAAGGGCUUCCUCCUUUGGAAAGGGCAAAUGCAUUGCGAAGGAUGGUUCUGUUCUCCAGAGUGGAACCUUCUCAUAAGAAGAUGCUUGUUGAAGCCUUGCAAUCACAUAAUGAAGUGGUUGCAAUGACUGGUGAUGGAGUCAAUGAUGCACCUGCCCUGAAAAAAGCAGAUAUAGGAAUAGCUAUGGGAUCAGGAACUGCUGUUGCGAAGAGUGCUUCAGAUAUGGUAUUGGCUGAUGACAACUUUGCUACAAUUGUUGCAGCUGUUGCAGAGGGAAGGGCCAUAUAUAAUAACACCAAGCAGUUUAUUCGAUACAUGAUUUCAUCAAAUAUUGGGGAGGUAGUUUGUAUUUUUGUGGCAGCGGUGCUUGGGAUGCCUGACACACUUGUACCUGUCCAGCUACUCUGGGUAAACCUUGUUACUGACGGGUUGCCUGCAACUGCAAUUGGUUUUAACAAGCCUGAUGGCAAUAUCAUGGCAGUUAAGCCUCGUAAGGUGAACGAAGCUGUGGUCAGUGGAUGGCUCUUUUUCCGCUAUUUAGUCAUUGGUGCUUAUGUUGGUCUUGCCACUAUAGCGGGGUUCGUUUGGUGGUUUGUUUAUUCUGAAGAUGGUCCUAGACUACCAUACUCUGAAUUGAUCAAUUUUGAUUCAUGUUCAACCAGGCAAACUUCAUAUCCUUGCAGCAUCUUUGAGGAUCGCCAUCCAUCAACUGUUUCAAUGACUGUUCUUGUUGUUGUCGAGAUGUUUAAUGCCUUGAAUAACCUAAGUGAAAAUCAAUCUCUACUUGUCAUUCACCCAUGGAGUAACCUAUGGCUUGUUGGGUCAAUCAUUCUGACAAUGCUUCUUCACGUAGCAGUCUUGUAUACGGAACCCCUGUCAGCUCUUUUCUCAGUGUCUCCAUUAACUUUGGCUGAGUGGAAAGUUGUUCUUUACCUAUCCUUCCCUGUAAUUUUGAUCGAUGAGGUGUUGAAAUUUUUCUCAAGAAGACCUCAAGCUUGGAGUUUUCCUUUACGGUUAUGGAGACGCGAAAUGCUUCCUAAAGAAGCCCGAGAUAAUUAA